AUACUUUGACUAAAGGAGCAUCCAUUAUCUGAGAAAAUCAGAAAGAAGGUGUAAAAACAACAACAACAACAAGACGUGAGGGCCUUUGUUAAAGAAUGGGUUAUUAGAAAAGAUUAUAAGUACAUAGUUAGUGUAUUAUUAUUAUUAUUAUUAUUAUUAUUAUUCUACAUUUGGAUUUGAUUAUUUAUUUGUUAAUACUGGUAUUUUUGUGUUAAAAAACUCUGCAAUUUUCAACAAGAAAGAAAGGAAACUCUUAUAUU
Molecule: long non-coding RNA, 260 nt
Filed under: Physcomitrium patens
Lineage: Eukaryota; Viridiplantae; Streptophyta; Bryopsida; Funariales; Funariaceae
Description: long non-coding RNA (PPAT_LNC013957)
Source: RNAcentral